This 254-nucleotide ribosomal RNA is filed under the name uncultured bacterium. RNAcentral describes it as "partial 16S ribosomal RNA". It matches the Rfam family "Bacterial small subunit ribosomal RNA", at positions 524 to 776 of the family's 1533-position model. The record is from RNAcentral.
CACGUAGGGGGCGAGCGUUGUCCGGAUUUAUUGGGCGUAAAGAGCUCGUAGGCGGUUUGGCAAGUCGGGUGUGAAAUUUCGAGGCUCAACCUCGAAACGCCACUCGAUACUGCCAUGACUGGAGUCCGGUAGAGGAGUGCGGAAUUCCUGGUGUAGCGGUGAAAUGCGCAGAUAUCGGGAGGAACACCAGUGGCGAAGGCGACUACCUGGCCUGUUCUUGACGCUGAGGCGCGAAAGCUAGGGGAGCAAACGGG